GCGCCCGUAGCUCAGCCCGGACAGAGCGCUGGCCUCCGGAGCCAGAGGUCGCAGGUUCAAAUCCUGCCGGGCGUACCA
RNAcentral lists this transfer RNA (78 nucleotides) under Pseudomonadota bacterium. Its description in RNAcentral is "tRNA-Arg". It matches the Rfam family "tRNA". From Rfam's summary of the family: Transfer RNA (tRNA) molecules are approximately 80 nucleotides in length. Their secondary structure includes four short double-helical elements and three loops (D, anti-codon, and T loops). The record is from RNAcentral. Lineage: Bacteria; Pseudomonadati; Pseudomonadota. RNAcentral also lists the same sequence under 4 other names.